AGGUGUAGUUAUACAAGUCUUUAAAUUCUUGACUGCUGGAAAGGCAGUCUGAAGCUAUGAGAUGGCUAAGAUUUCUGCCUGGACUCUCCUCACCACGCUGAUACGUGGUUCGAGAAUGUGGCUAGACUACAACUAGACAACUGGAGUAUUUAAACAUCUGAUUACAUCAGUCUAUAAAGACGCUCGGGAAAGUUGCUGCUUUCCUUUCUCUCUAAAAUAUCAGCAGAUGUUCACCUCCACUUGGGCAGAGUUGCACAUUGGAGCCUCAUUAUCCAUCAUCAUAGACUUCUUGGAAUGCUUAUUACAACAGUCAGAAUCUCUCUGAUAAUGAAAAACAUUGGUAGAGGCAAAAUAUGAUCCACAGCUUCUGGUGAAGAAAAGGCAUUUGUUGGGUAGAAACACAACAACAACAAAACUCGCCCUGUUUCAAAUAGAGUUAUGAAGUGUCGAGAGGAAGACCAUAAAGGAUUUGCCAUUCUCAUGAUAUAUUUCAUGGAUACCUACGGCCAACCUGACACAUCACUGUUCGUGCUGAUUUUGACC
Molossus molossus (Pallas's mastiff bat) is the source of this 543-nucleotide long non-coding RNA. RefSeq lists it as uncharacterized. The record is from RefSeq and is a predicted model, not a curated record. The transcript is spliced from 4 exons. NCBI's taxonomy places the organism in Eukaryota, Metazoa, Chordata, Mammalia, Chiroptera, Molossidae.